Long non-coding RNA from Raphanus sativus (radish), 690 nucleotides. RefSeq lists it as uncharacterized. NCBI's taxonomy places the organism in Eukaryota, Viridiplantae, Streptophyta, Magnoliopsida, Brassicales, Brassicaceae. The transcript is spliced from 3 exons. The record is from RefSeq and is a predicted model, not a curated record.
CAGUGAUCGUCAACGCCUCCACGUCGGGUCUGCUUCUUCUCUCCUCUCCUUAUUGCUUCUGCCGUUGCUUAGCUUGUCAUUCUCGGGUGGAUAGUCCGAGGGAUCGGCGGGUUCUGGUUCUUCUGGAGGAUCUUCAGUUAAAUCAUCUCAUUCUAGAUUUCAAGUUAGCAGAAGAUUCGAAGCUCGCGCGCGCUUCAACGAUACGGCCAGUACUUGGUAUGGAGGAGGAUGAUUGGAUUCGAAAGCGAAAGCUGAUUUUGUUGUUUGGGGUGGUGACUUGAUCUUAUCGGCGGAUACUUGAGCACCUCAUCUGAUUCGAGGGAUUGCCACAGAGUGUGGGGUUGAUUUCGAUGAGUCUUGUACACCACAGGGUUGGAGAAGCAGAUGAGCCAGCAAUAUAUAUAUAGGAUAAAGGAUGAUCUGGUAUGGUAUGGUUUCUACAUCUUCCGACUCUCCCAAAGUUUCCUAUCCUUAGGUGAUAUAAUACCCGGGUGAAUCUGCGCGGCAACGGCAAGCUUAUAAUGUGGCCUUUUUUUUUUUUUUGUGCAAACAUAUUCUCCAUUACUUAAACUUGAGAAAUCCUACAAUAAUUCAGAGCUUUUACAGCUCCAUUAUCAUUACAAACUGCCAACUUGGUGGCUAAACAAGAGAUUAAAAUACUUAAGAUAGAUAAAUCACAUAACUUCAAUU